AACGAACGCUGGCGGCAUGCCUAACACAUGCAAGUCGAACGAUGCCUUCGGGCAUAGUGGCGCACGGGUGCGUAACGCGUGGGAAUCUGCCUUCCGGUUCGGAAUAACUCAGGGAAACUUGAGCUAAUACCGGAUAACGUCGCAAGACCAAAGAUUUAUCACCGAAAGAUGAGCCCGCGUAGGAUUAGCUAGUUGGUGAGGUAAAGGCUCACCAAGGCGACGAUCCUUAGCUGGUCUGAGAGGAUGAUCAGCCACACUGGGACUGAGACACGGCCCAGACUCCUACGGGAGGCAGCAGUGGGGAAUAUUGGACAAUGGGCGAAAGCCUGAUCCAGCAAUGCCGCGUGAGUGAUGAAGGCCUUAGGGUUGUAAAGCUCUUUUACCCGGGAAGAUAAUGACGGUACCGGGAGAAUAAGCCCCGGCUAACUCCGUG
This 433-nucleotide ribosomal RNA is filed under the name uncultured bacterium. RNAcentral describes it as "partial 16S ribosomal RNA". It matches the Rfam family "Bacterial small subunit ribosomal RNA", at positions 29 to 507 of the family's 1533-position model. The record is from RNAcentral.